AUUGAACGCUGGCGGCAGGCCUAACACAUGCAAGUCGAACGAGUGGCGGACGGGUGAGUAAUGUCUGGGAAACUGCCCGCUGGAGGGGGAUAACUACUGGAAACGGUGGCUAAUACCGCAUACCAUCGGAUGUGCCCAGAUGGGAUUAGCUAGUAGGUGGGGUAACGGCUCACCUAGGCGACGAUCCCUAGCUGGUCUGAGAGGAUGACCAGCCACACUGGAACUGAGACACGGCCCAGACUCCUACGGGAGGCAGCAGUGGGGAAUAUUGCACAAUGGGCGCAAGCCUGAUGCAGCCAUGCCGCGUGUAUGAAGAAGGCCUUCGGGUUGUAAAGGACUUUCAGCGAGGAGGCGUUACUCGCAGAAGAAGCACCGGCUAACUCCGUGCCAGCAGCCGCGGUAAUAC
RNAcentral lists this ribosomal RNA (406 nucleotides) under uncultured bacterium. RNAcentral's name for it is "partial 16S ribosomal RNA". It matches the Rfam family "Bacterial small subunit ribosomal RNA", at positions 30 to 526 of the family's 1533-position model. The record is from RNAcentral.